UUUCUAGGGGUCUAGUGGUUUAGACUCUGCACUUAAACUGCAGGAGGCACAGGUUCAAUCCCUGGCUGGGGAA
RNAcentral lists this transfer RNA (73 nucleotides) under Bos taurus (domestic cattle). It matches the Rfam family "tRNA". From Rfam's summary of the family: Transfer RNA (tRNA) molecules are approximately 80 nucleotides in length. Their secondary structure includes four short double-helical elements and three loops (D, anti-codon, and T loops). RNAcentral also lists the same sequence under 5 other names. Lineage: Eukaryota; Metazoa; Chordata; Mammalia; Artiodactyla; Bovidae. The record is from Rfam by way of RNAcentral.